AUGGACAUACCUACUUUCCCUGACGACAUACCCACACGGUCCUUAUUCAACAUGAAGCUGCUUCCUUCUGGUGGUUCUAGUUUUUCAGUGGUUCAGCUGAGUGCUGGGCCUGGGAUUAUGGAUGGAAGCCCUUUGCUGCAUCAGACGGCAGAAAACAGUGGUGUUGACCAAAGAUACUCCUGAAGAUACUGACAUUAAAAGAUUGAAAAAAGAAUUCUUGUUUUUGAAAACAUUUCGUUCGAUGCAUUCAUUUCGGGAUGUGACGCUUUGAUGUGGUAUAUGGUAUAUGGUAUGUGAUAUAUAGUAUAUGACAUAUGGUACAACUCCCUCAGUGAGAAAAUAACAUUUUAACAUCACACUGGACUAGAGCCAUAGCCUCAUAAAUGGAAUUUUGUUUGAUGAUAUGAAAUAUAGUUGCUUUGUUUAAAUUCCCAAGUUGAAACUAAAUAGUGUAAAGUGGUAAUCGGUAGAGUACUAUCUUCUAACAAGCAGCAUAAAAUUGGCUGUAAUAAACAAUUGUAUUCUUAAAUUGACCAAGUUCUCC
Long non-coding RNA from Haliotis rubra (blacklip abalone), 544 nucleotides. RefSeq lists it as uncharacterized. The record is from RefSeq and is a predicted model, not a curated record. The transcript has 3 exons. Lineage: Eukaryota; Metazoa; Mollusca; Gastropoda; Lepetellida; Haliotidae.